GUAAUAGUUAUGGGCUUGAAACUUAAAGAAUUUGGCGGUAUUUUAAUCUUUUCAGAGGAACCUGUUCUAUAAUCGAUAUUCCACGUUAAAUUUUACUAAGUAAUUUGUAUAUCGUUGUCGAAAGAAUAAAUUUUCUAAAAUUAUUAUUAUAAUUUAUGUCAAAUCAAGGUGCAGUUUAUGAUUUAGUAGAAAUGGGUUACAAUAAAAAUAUUUAGGAGU
This 219-nucleotide ribosomal RNA is filed under the name Tiarapsylla argentina. Its description in RNAcentral is "partial 12S ribosomal RNA". Lineage: Eukaryota; Metazoa; Arthropoda; Insecta; Siphonaptera; Stephanocircidae. The record is from RNAcentral.